This 395-nucleotide ribosomal RNA is filed under the name uncultured bacterium. RNAcentral describes it as "partial 16S ribosomal RNA". It matches the Rfam family "Bacterial small subunit ribosomal RNA", at positions 523 to 918 of the family's 1533-position model. The record is from RNAcentral.
AUACGUAGGGUGCGAGCGUUAAUCGGAAUUACUGGGCGUAAAGCGUGCGCAGGCGGUUUUGUAGGACAGUGGUGAAAUCCCCGGGCUCAACCUGGGAACUGGCAUUGUGACUGCAAGGCCGGAGUGCGGCAGAGGGGGAUGGACUUCCGCGUGUAGCAGGGACAUGCGUAGAUAUGCGGAGGAACACCGAUGGCGAAGGCAAUCCCCUGGGCCUGUACUGACGCUCAUGCACGAAAGCGUGGGGAGCAAACAGGAUUAGAUACCCUGGUAGUCCACGCCCUAAACGAUGUCAACUGGUUGUUGGGUCUUCAUUGACUCAGUAACGAAGCUAACGCGUGAAGUUGACCGCCUGGGGAGUACGGCCGCAAGGUUGAAACUCAAAUGAAUUGGCGGGG